Long non-coding RNA from Chenopodium quinoa (quinoa), 607 nucleotides. RefSeq lists it as uncharacterized. Lineage: Eukaryota; Viridiplantae; Streptophyta; Magnoliopsida; Caryophyllales; Amaranthaceae. The record is from RefSeq and is a predicted model, not a curated record. The transcript has 2 exons.
ACGGACAUCAUAAUGUUGGUUACAAAUAGGAAGGUUAUUUUUAUAUACUCUUAUAACGGCCCAAAGCCCAUUACUCUCAUAACCCUAACUACCACUACAACCGCCCCCUCCCCCCUUAUUUUCUUUCUGGUUUGUUUCUAUCUCCUCCUCCUCCAUUCUCUUCUUUCACCCCUCUUUCACUCUUAGCUUCCUUUAUUUGUUCCUCUCGAAUCUCAACCCAUCCCUUCUUCACUCUCUUCUUUCCCUCAACCUCUUAGCAAUUCUCUCCUCCACGAGCACACACUGCACCAUGAGCUAUUAUCAUCAACAAUCGAGCUUCACCAUCAACCAUAGCCGAUGUUAACAAUAUAUGUCUUUAAUGGUGCUUAUGAAUUUAGGGAAAGGAGCUUAACCACAUUUGUGAAGGUUAUACUAGGCGUCUAAGCCCAACGUGACAAACUAUGAUGGAGCUAUAUAGACACUUUUUGUUUUUUUAGACCAUUUUUAGCAUAAUCUGUUGUAAAUCUUGUAAUUAAAUGAUUUAGAGAUAGAAUAUAAUUUAGUUUGUAUUAAUUGAAAAGAUUAUUAUUCCCUAGAAUAUUCACCUAUUUAUUUUUAUCUUUUUUUU